UUUUGAGACUCGCGCAUAAUUGGAGCACCGCUUUUUCAAUUUGCCUUCUUUGAGUGUUGAUAAGGAGCAAGAGAAUAUGAGGAUUAUGCUGUAGAAGUGCAUAGUAGAAAGCAGAAGUCAAAUUAAUGGUUUUACGCGACCGUCAUAGUCUGCAGCAGCAAUGACACCUGAACAAUUCAGAGGGCUGCUCAAACAAUGGGACAGGGUCGGAAGGAGUGACUUCUUACAGUACCUGAAGAACAUCAUCCCUAAUCAGGAUGAAACACUUCUUGGCACAGUGGGCUCUUCAGAAGAUGUACACAUGUGUCUGUACCGGCUGAUCCAGGCUGGCGCCGACGGCGUUCUGAAGAAGGAGAGCGUCGCCAAGACGCUGUCAGAGGCCGUGACGCUCCACCCCGACCUCCCUGCCGCGGUGGUUGACAUUUUCGGUAUGCUUGAUGUCGAAAUCACCGCGACUGAUGAUCCCAAAAGUAAAGAAAGGUUCUACUGGAUCAUCAAAUCCGUCGAAGGGGCCGUGUCCAACCAGCUCCUGCGAGAGAGGAUGGAGGUCGAGAGCUUCCCGCACAUCGGCGUCGUCAAAAACCCCAAGGCCUUCAACUCAAAGUUCAUCAAACUCAAAACAAAGCUCUACUACAAGCAGCGCAAGUUCAACCUGUUUCGGGAGGAGAGCGAGGGUUACGCCAAGCUGCUAGUAGAGCUGAACCAGGACCAAUCCAGCUCCUCACCAGAACAUAUGCUCGAAGUCAUCAAAGCCAUCAUCGGCUGUUUCAACCUGGACCCGAACCGAGUGCUGGACGUGCUGCUGUCGUCGCUGGAGGCGCGGCCGGACCGGCACGCCUUCCUGGUGCCGCUGCUGCGCCUGUACAUGCCCUCUGCGGAGACUGUCAGCGAGGUAGUGGGCGCGCGCUACGGCUUCUGCCAGCCGCAGCCGGGCCAGGACGAGACGGAGGCCGAGACGCCGCGCUCGCUGCACGUCAUGACGGCGCUGCUGCUGCGGCACGGCGUCAUCCGGCUGGAGCACAUCUGGCCAUGGCUACUACCGGCGGACUCUGCGAUCGAGGCGCAGCACCGGCGCCUGAUGGCGGCCGCCGCAGAGUACCAGCGGCGCACCUUCGUCGUCUCCACCAAGGACAAGGACAAGGAGGAGGCGCCGCGGGACGAGACGCCGACGCUCUCGCCGAUAUCCCAGAGCCAGAAGCUGGGUCUGUGCGAGGCGGUGCUGUCGAUCGGCGACUGGCCGACAGCGCAGGCCAUUCUGGCCCGCUUCCCGGACUUUUGUCUGAUGGUGCACCCGGAGCUGGCGGCGGCCGCCUGUCGCCUGCUCUCCGUCCGCCUGGAUCCCAUCUACCGACGGUUCAGCGGUAUGGCGGCGGCGCUGCGGCCGGCUCCGGUGUCUCUCCCCCCGCUGGUCGAGGCGCGGCCCGACAGUGAGCUGACCAGUGUGCGCUCAGAGGUGGCCCCUCUGCUCUCUGUGAUCGGACCGUACCUGUCGUCAGACGUGACACUGGUGUACCGCGUGCUGCGCGUGGCGCGGACUGCCCACCAGCUGCGUCUGAAGGAGGCGGACCCGGACGCGCCGGAGACGCGCGAGGCGUUCUUGUUCUACGACGUGCUCACGAUGCUGGAGGAGGCGGUGCUGCCCUGUCUGGUGCUGCUGGAGGCCAACUGCUGCCUGGCGGAGGAGAUCUGGACCGUGCUCGCCUACUACCCCUACCAGCACAGGUAUCGCCUGUACGGAACGUGGAAGAAUGAGAGCCACAACCAGCACCCGCAGCUCAUCAGGAAGCGGGCAGAUCUCAUCAAGAUGUCCAAGUCGCUGAUGAAGCGCAUCAGCAAGGAAAACGUGAAGCCGCUCGGCAGGCUCAUGGGCAAGCUGACGCACAACGCGCCUGGCUACAUGUUCGAAUACAUGCUGGGCCAGAUUCAGAUCUACGACAACCUGAUCGGGCCGAUGGUGGACUCUCUGAAGUACAUCACCAAUCUGUCGUACGACGUGCUGGGCUACUGCAUCAUCGAGGCGCUGGCCAACCCGGAAAAGGACCGCACCAAACACGACGGCACCUCGCUGUCACUGUGGCUCACGUCGCUCGCAAACUUCUGUGGGUUCAUGUUCAAAAAGUACAACCUGGACCUGACGGGACUCAUGCAGUACGUCGCCAACCAGCUCAAGUCGAUGAAGAGCCUGGACCUGCUGAUCCUGCGGGAAGUGGUCCAGAAGAUGGCCGGCGUCGAGGCUGUGGAGGACAUGACGGAGGAGCAGCUGUCGGCCAUGGCCGGUGGGGAGCUGCUCAGAGCCGAGGCCGGGUUCUUCAACCAGGUUCGGAACACGAAGAAGUCUUCCCAGCGUCUGAAGGACAGCCUCAUCGACAACGGCCUGAUGGUGCCGAUGGUGCUCCUCAUGGCCCAGCAGCGGCACUGCGUCGUCUUCAAGGAGACAGAGGGCUCGCACUUGAAACUCGUCGGAAAACUGUAUGAUCAGUGCCAGGACACGAUGGUGCAGUUCGGCAUGUUCCUGGCGUCUGCGCUCAGUAUCGACGACUACCGCCAGCGGCUGCCGGCCUUCGACAGUCUGCUGUCGGAGUUCCACAUCAGCCCUGACGUGGCCUUCUUCCUGGCCCGACCCAUGUUCACUCAUGCCAUCCAGCAACGUUACGACGAGCUGCGGAAAGCCGAAAAGAACCACAAGUCGCUGUCGGUGGAGCAGAAGCGCGAGAAGUACCUGCAGGCCAGCGAGCAGGUACUGGCGCCCGUGGUCACCGCCGUGGUGCCCGUGUUCCCGGCCAAAACCUGGGACGACAUCAGCGCCGAGUUCUUCACGUCGUUCUGGUCGCUGACGCUGAGCGACUUGCGCGUGCCGUCCGAGAGCUAUGAGAAGGAGGUCCGACGGCUGAAACAGCAGGUCACCCAGCUGGCCGACAACAGGGACCUGACGGAGAGCAAGCGUAAGAAGGAGCAGGAGCGCUGUCAGGUGCUGAUCGACAAACUGCACGAGGAGGAGAAACGCCAGAAGGAGCAUGUCGACCGAGUGCUGGCCAGACUCAAAAAGGAGAAGGACUCGUGGUUCGAACCGCGCCAGGCCAAGUCGGCCAAGACGGAGACGAUGACACAGUUCGUGCAGAUGUGUCUGUUCCCGCGCUGCGUCUUCACCUCCAUGGACGCGCUCUACUGCGCCGAGUUUGUGCGCACGCUGCACAGCCUGAAGACGCCCAACUUCUCCACGCUCAUCUGCUACGAUCGGCUGUUCUGCAACAUCACCUACACGUUCACAUCGUGCACGGAGAACGAGGCGUCCCGCUACGGUCGCUUCCUGUGCGCCCUGCUCGAGACGGUGAUGCACUGGCACGGCUCCAAAGAGGUGUUCGAGCGCGAGUGCGCCUUCUUCCCGGGCUUCGUCACCAAGUUCCGCGUGUCCAACAAACAGAACGAGCGCAGCGACCAUGUCGACUACGAGAACUACCGCCAUGUCUGCUUUAAGUGGUUCUACAAAAUCACCAAGGCGAUCGUGACCUGCCUGGACAGCCGCGAGUAUGUGCAGAUCCGGAACGCGCUCAAGAUCCUCAUCAAGAUCCUGCCCUGCUACCCGGUACUCAGCCACGUGGCCAACAUCGUCGAGAAGAAGGUCGAGUCGGUGAUCCAGGCCGAGAAGAACAAGCGCCAGGACCUGGCCAUCAUGGCCACCAGCUACGCGGGCCUGCUGCGCGCCCGCAAACACACCUACAUCCCGGAAAAGGACUUCCACACGGUCGACAAGAGCAAGAAGGCUGCUCCGCCGGCUGCCGCCGCCGCUCCGGCCGCCACCAAGGAGGCGACCAAGUCGACCAAGGGAGGGGAGGCGGCGCCUGCCGUGGCCAACGGCAGCGUCAAACAUGAGCCGAUGGACCAGGAUCGGCCUUCGCCGCGCCAGGAGACGUCCUACCGGUCAAAUGAUCGUGACGAGAGCACUGAGCGGCGAGUCAAGAGGGAAAGUCGGGGUCGGGACCGGCUCAGAGAGGACGGGGACCGCAGUCGGUCACAGACGCCGCGCUCGGACAGCACGCCCGUCUCGGGCCGGGAGCGGAAACACGACACGGAGGAGCGACGGGAGCGGAAGGCCGCCAAACGCAGUCCGCCAGACGACGAAAUGGAGAGCAAGAAGAUAUCGCACCGGGUGGAGCGGGAGUCUGACGAGAUCCGUGUGGUGGAGGACGAGUACUUUGAGAAGCCGCGCCGUCCGCCGGCCUCCUCGUCCCGCUCCGCCUCCGAGGCCUCUGACGUCGACAGAGAUGCCAAGCGGCGCCGAGUGGAAACUAAGGUUAGUAUGAUUGACGUGAGCUGAUGGCCGCGGCCGGCUGCGGCCCGGCUGUGGCCGCCGUCGCCGCCGCCGGCCGUCACGCGCCGCUCAGGGGGUGCCGCCGCCGGGCGCGACGACAGCGCCGCCGCCGCAGCCACCACCAUCGUCGAAGUCGCCACAGCAGCAGGAUUCGGCAGGGAUGCAAGAAACAACAUCGUCGUCAUCGUCACCGCGGCCGCCGUUACUGUCGGCCUGACAUCCUCAAUCCCUGCUGCUGUCGAGUGGGGCGGACGCCGCACCGGCUCAGCGCGACCGAGCGUGUGAGAGAGAAUCCGUGAGAGAGGAGGCGUCAUCGGUGUGUUAGAGAGGUGCCGCGCGGUAGUGAGAUGGACAGAGUGCUGGGAGAGCGGCAGAGUGCGAGAGGAGGGCUGAAAAGGCAGAGGACGCCGAAAAGUCUGCCAAGUGGAAGACGAAGGAAAGAGCGUUCAUGCGGUUAGUUCAAAAUGGCGAGGCGUGCUAUUCGAGCCGUUGCUCGAUCGCUAAAUGAAGUGAAUUGAGAACAUUCUUCUUUCGGCUGUGAUACGAGAUCUUUCUUCGGGUGUGAUUGGGGGCGGCGAAUAUGCCCCAAAUGGCUCAAAGAGCCGAACUCUUGUUAGUUUUUGUCGCGCCUCUGUCUUUGGCGCUGGCGAUCAAUACAUCCUUCCCAGAGAGAUUUCUGGUGGAGCAAGGCAUAAGUUCAGACAAAGAAUGUGCUGAGGAGCAAAUAUUCUUCAGAAUGUGUUAGUUCAAAGUGCUCUCAGGAAUACCCCGGUCAUCUUCUUCACGAAGCGUGCCUCCAUUGUGAGAUGUUUGUUCGUCGGUGCCUGCUGGUUUCUCCGUGGCCAGCGCUGCCGGUGGGUGCGUGUCCGCCGGCGCCCUCUGCCGUCUCGGGUUCGUCCGUCUCGACUCCAUUCGUCCGGUUUGGCGUCUCUCCUUGUUCUAUGAGGCAUGGCUAUUCGUGCCAGGAGAAGCCAGACAAUCGUGCUGGUGUCCGUAUUGGACCACAAGACAUCAGAGAAGCUCCAUCUGCCGCGCCGUGGUUUCUCUCGCAGUACCGCGGAAGAGGUGCUGACGGCUCCGACAGGGAAUCAAGAGCGCUGCAUGCAGCUCUGAGUACUCCAUACGCCGUGCUGGACCCUAUCUCUGAAAUGGGCGAAAAUGUUCCUCGAGGUCUCGGGCGUCAUGUUGAAGCGCCAUGAAGAUCGCAGUCGCUCUGGAGGGCGCUGUAAAUGAGCUGAUCUGCUACCUGUCGAUGGGAGUUAAACGAACCACCUUGUCAACACCACGGUUGUGUGUUGCUUCUGCAUCUGCUAACCUGGCAAAAGAAAAAACAACACGUCUGAGGAACCAGACGAACAAGAUGCCGCUGCAAGCCAGGCGUCAAACUCCAGAGAGUUUCCAAUAACUCUAUAGAAAGCCGCUCAGUCUGUUCAACUCAGAAGUCCAUCAAAACGCCAAAUCAACACCAAUCGUCUCCAAUCUGUCUGGAAUCAGCACAGUGCGCUCAAUCAGCGCAGAAGUCAUCGAACAGCACUGUGGCGGCCGGCCACCGCGCGGCGCGUGGCGCGCGAUCGAUCCCAUGAGUGGUGGCUCAGCACCGCCAGUCUGCUGUCACAGAGGUCCGCCGAAAAGGCUCCCGAAAAGGACGAGGAGAAGAAAAAGAAGAGGAAGAAGGCCGACAAAGGGUUGGAGGAAGGAGAGAUCAGGAACAAGCGGGAAGAAAAGAAAGAUAGGAAGCGGGUAAAUCAAUGGUUUGGUCGCUUACAUAACAUCGCUCCCUCAUUAUAUUGAUCGGUCUUUUAUGCGAUAUUUACGUUAUUCUUUCAAGGUGAUUUUUAUUUGAGAAGUCACCGGGGACAUAUCCUUCUUGAAGCAUCAACUCAUCUAUUUAUUGGUAAUUUCAUUUGAUUUGUUUCUUUAGUAACGUCUUCGUCGCUUGAUUUGUUUUAUCCGACUCUGUCUGCGAAACAGGCGACCGCUAGCGACAGAGACGUCUCUCCAGUCGACCUGAAGCGCAAACUCAAAGAAGAGGAGAAAGCCGCCAAGCGGCGCUCGGAGGGCGAGCUCGAGUACAGAGAGGUCAAGGAGAAACGACGGACACGGCGUGAGGAGGAGGUGGAGUACUAUGACGAGCCGCUGCCUCGGUACGCCGCUGACGACUACGACUGGGAACGAGAACGACCCGUCAAGGACAAACAUAGGGGCCGUCUGGACACAAAGCGACGCUGAUGCUGAUCCAGCUGCCAUCGAUGCCUGUAUUUCGUGGCGGCGGAGCUGGCGCAAUGGGGACAGAUCCUGCGCAGGUGCGCCUGUGCUGGACUAAUCGACAGCGGUCCGUCGAGGCGCUUUGCGAGCUGUUCCUAGCCCACCCGGCGAAUGCUGUGCAAGUGAACUAGACAAUACCGGGGCCUCGGAAUGACCUGGCAGUGACCUGAGUGGUCGUACCUAACCUGACUGGGACCGGCGGACCGAGUCGGAUGGUAACCCAUGUGGUAGAACUUUGACUGAGGACUGGCGGGCUGAAGGACUGGCGCCUGGGGUGACCUGCUGGACGGGCCUGUAAUCGGAUGUACCGGACGGCGGUGGUAUUGCCGACGGAACGGUAGAGAGCUGACGGCGGACACCACAAACCAAUGCACGCUGAGCUGUGGAGAGCGUCGCCAAACAUCGUGUUAAUAAUGCAGUUCAUUGUGAAUAUACCGGGACAUGUGA
RNAcentral lists this unclassified non-coding RNA (7021 nucleotides) under Amphibalanus amphitrite. Its description in RNAcentral is "tHO complex subunit 2-like, transcript variant X1". Lineage: Eukaryota; Metazoa; Arthropoda; Thecostraca; Balanomorpha; Balanidae. The record is from RNAcentral.